Molecule: long non-coding RNA, 28273 nt
Filed under: Lactuca sativa (garden lettuce)
Lineage: Eukaryota; Viridiplantae; Streptophyta; Magnoliopsida; Asterales; Asteraceae
Description: long non-coding RNA (LSAT_LNC009755)
Source: RNAcentral
UACAACCACCGAUCCAAAGAAACGAGUUCUCGAAAGUGCUCCCCCAGCUUGGAGCCAAAAAGGAAGGCCCAUCGUGUUUGGCUAGUUCGGCUCGAGAGUUGUUGUAGUUCUCGAAGUGGGAGACGAUUUUUUUGGUUAUGAGUUGGAGGUAGUCGACGUCGGUUGGGUAGUUGGUGAGUGUUUGGAGUAAUUCGUCCAGAUCGAGCUGUUGCUGAGCCACCCAGUUCUUAUAGCAGCAUUGGAACUGUUGGUGUUUCAUUUGUUUGGCCAUGAGGCGACUCUUGACUCCAAACACACACACACUGAAUUGGUUAUGAACAUGAAGUGGAUAUAUAUAUAUAUAUACUGAAGGAGAAGGGACUGCAAAAGUGGGAGAAGAAACUAAAGAGGGACGUCCACAUGAAGACACAGAUUUCUUAGAAUGACUUAAGUGUAAGUUUUCUCAUGUUCCCUUUUUUAAGUGGAUAUUUACGAUGUUUGAUUUGAAAAUUUAUAGAAUAUAUGUGGGUCUCGUAUUAACCACUUCCAAAAAGGCUCUUGUGAAGAGAGGAAUGACUCAAACGUAUAUAGAAAAUGAUGUGAGAGUAUAGAUGAGGUCGACAAGGUUGUGUUAGCCAUGGGUGCGGUGUAUCGGGUUUGAUACCAUAUUUCUCUAUUCUAAUAAAAGAGUAGUUUUAUUCUCCUUUUGAUAUGUGUCACCAUAUUAAGCCUCAUAAUUAAUGCAAAUUUUAUUUUUCUUUUGCAUGUUUCACCUUAUUAUGUCUCAUAAUUAAUGCAUACCAUUUGUUAACAUAUUGAUUUUCAAUUUCAAAUUUCAAAUUUCAAAUUUUAAAUUUCUCAUUUUAAUUACAUUAAAUUAACAAUAUUAUAAUAAAAAUUAAAAUAAAAUUAAUAAAAAUUAUAAAAUGAUAUAAUUUUACAUAUUUAUUUAAAUCAAUGAUUAUAAUUUUAUAUAACUAAAAAAACCUCUUAAUGAAUAAUUUAUUUAAAACAAGUUAUUAAUAUUUUUAAAUUUUAACUAUUAAUCUUUAAUUAAUUUUAUAACCGUGGUUCCCACGGGUUAUAAACUAGUAAGAUAUAUGAGAGUCUCAUGUUAACUUUCUAAAAGAGCCCUUAACGAAAAAACGGAAAAUGACUUAAAAGUUCAACGAAGUUUCCAAACCAUUCAAAAAAACCCAAUCAUGUUUUGUCUGUUCAAAAAAACUCAACGAACUUAAUAUUUUGUCUAAAAAGUCCAACAAAGUUCCAAACCGUUCAGAAAAUUCCAAUUUUGUUUUGUUUAAAUUCGUUGAGUUUUUUUUUUGAACAGUCAAAACAUGAUUGUAGUUUUUAAACGUUUUGGAAACUUUUCUUGGUCUAACAAGUCAUUUUAUCGAUACGGUAAUAUCUGUUUCUCUUAUUUGACUUUCAGGAAAGUGUAACUUAGUUAGGUUUUUUAGACAAAAUGUUAAGUUUGUUAGGUUUUUUUUAACAGACAAAACAUGAUUGAGGUUUUUUGAACGGUUUAGAAACUUCAUUGGGCUUUUAAGUCAUUUUCCCAUGAAAAAAAGAAGACUCUAAAAUAGACAUAAGAAGUAUGUUAUACCAAUAUAUGCACACCAUCAUGGCCCUAUCAGAGGGUAGGGCAGCAUAGGCGAUUAACGGGCAAUUACAGCUUUCAAAUUUUUGGAGCUCAUUUUUAUGUAUUUACUUAUAUUAUUCAAAAAUAAAAAACUUUUGGUAUUAAGUAGUGGCAUGUAGAAAAAAAAUCUCAUUUUUUAUUUAGCCCGAUGCCUCAAAUUGGGAUAAAACAAAAAGAGACGGUGUAUCAUGAUGGAAGCUGUAAAUAAGACAACAAAGUGUACCAGAAUACAAAUGCAAUGAAUGGAGGUCAAAAAUUGACAUAAAAUUUGGCAAGUUUUCAUGGGGCAUGUGGGCAACUUUCUCCAGCUACAUCUUUUUGUACAUACAUAGAGUCAUGAAUAAAAAUAUUAUACGUGAAAUUAUUUGACUGAGGAGAGACUAAAGAUUUUGUCAUUAAUCUAUCAACCAUUCUAGGAUGUGUUUUGGAUAAAUAAUAAUCGACCUAUUAGAACUUUAUUUAUGACAAUACGUCCAACCACUCAACCAGAAUGACACAUAUAGCGACUAUGAUGUCAUGUGAACUUAAAAUAUAAAAUUGAAUUUGCAACUAGAUUAGGCAGGUUAAUGAGUAACUCCAUUUUAGAUAGAUUGAUCAUUGAUGCCUGGUUGAUGUAAGAUUAAAAAUAAAAAAAAUUCUUUAAAGAUUCUUUUAUUCCCUAAAUACUCUUAAAAAACUUCUAUUUUAAUAAUGAUUGUAAACAUUCAAGCCUUGAAGUUGCAUAGAUCGAUCAUUGAUGCUUUAUGAAUUCAUAGAACGAUCAUGCUCGGUCAUUUUACGUUAUCUCUCAACCAUGGAUAAACAUAGGUAAAAGAUUUACCUUUUUAGACCUUCAAUGGUUCAUGCGAUAUUUUAAUUUAAAGCAAUUCCUACAUCACCUGUAGGGAAUGACCCAAGGAAUGUUACGCAUGUAGGUACUCACAACUAAGUUUUCCACCAAUAAAACACUUGUUCAACAAGAAAUUAAAAGCUCUCGUUUUUUCUUAUUUCCCAGUUUUGCCGUGUUCUCAUCUUCCUUCUUGUUCUGUUAUGUGUUCUUUUCUUAGGCAACAAGGUUGCAUCAGGUAUCAAUCAGGUAGAUACCUUACACUUGGUAUCACAGAAAAGAUAAAAAAAACGAUUGAUCAUAACCCCACCAUGGAAAUACCGACGAUGCAAUAUCCUGUCUUGACCAGAACUAACUAUGCUGCAUGGGCGAUUAAGAUGAAGGUGUUCAUGCAAGCAUAGGAAUUUUGGGAUGCUAUUGAACCUAAGAAUCCCUGAAAUGCAAUUGGUGUUAAGAAAUCCUUUUGUCGAUAGCGGAGAAGCAAACGGAAAAGAGGUGUGGGAAACACUUGUAUAUGGGUGCAGAUCGAGAUUGAACAUGAAUGAAUCCGAGACGGUUGAUGAUUUUAUGAGCAACAUCCGGACUUUAUGUGAUACCGUAGAUGAAUUAUACGUGGUCAAGAAGAUUCUACGAGCCGUGCCCUCGAAGUUUGUUCAAAUUGCAUCAACAAUUGAGCAAUUCGUUGAUCUUGAUACGAUAUUUGAAGAAGUCGUUGGCAUAUUCAAAGCACAUGAAGUGCAAGUACAUCAAGAAGUAGAGGAAAAGAAAUUGCUCUUAACCCAUGAAUAAUGGUUAGAAAGAAAUAAGAAGCAAUUGAACCGGCAAGAGUCAAAGAACAAGCAAAGAGGUAAUUCAAGCAAUCGUAGGGGACGAGGAAGAGGAAACUGGAACAAUUCAAGUCAUGGAAGAUGUGGUAAUCACCAAAGUAGAGUCUAAGCUACUUAGCCCAAAAACCAGGGUAAAAGACCAUUCUACCUUUUAUCACACUUGACCUAAAGCCAAGGCCCAACUCAACUACUUCCAAGGCCCAAAUCCUAAAUAAUAUUCCAAAGCCCAAUAUGGCCCAAUCUUCCAAAUUGGGCCAAAAACCGAUAAUGGGCCUAAAUCCAAAGGAGCCCAAAAAUACAAACUAGAAGCCCAAAAUAGAAGUCUAAUGGCCCAACAAGGCCCAAACUAAGGAAAACCAACCACUGGCCUAAACCGAGAAUACCACGCCCAAACUUCCAUCUGCCGAGUACGCGGGGCGUACUCAUUUCGUACACUAAGCAUACUCCGUCCAAGGUCAGUAUGUGCAGUGUACCAGUUGGGUAUGCCAAGUGUAAUCUCCAGACCACCUUUUCACUCCAAUAAGCACUUAAUCAGCUAAGACAAAGUGCCAAACUCUCAGAUCUGAUUCUUUAAGGGUACCUAUCACGUAAAGUUGGCAACUUUACACUCAUGCAUGGCUUAAAGGGGCUCAAAAGCUCAAAAAGAGCUUAAUAAAGGUCUUAAUGCUUGCAUGGACCAAUAUCUUCUAUAAAGUUGAUAUUUUUAUGAACAUGGGGACUCAAUGGAGCCAAGAUCUAGCAUCCAUAGCUUCUAGAGCAGAUCAAAAGCUCACCUUUAACUCAAAAGCUCAAAAAGUGCACAAAGUACACCAUAAAAUAGAUGUACCACCAAAGUCUAUCAAGGUGAGAGCUUUUUACUUCAAAAUUGUAACGAACCAAUUUUACCAAGAAAUUUUUCAUUUUUAAUUAAUCAAACAAAUCCCAGAAUCCAUAGAUUUCCAAACCAUUUGUUUUCCCAAUUCACAGUUAUUACAAUUUUCAUUGUACUUUUUGAAAACAUCAGAGAGUCCCAACACACAAAAAGAGAGGUAGAGUACACGCCACGUCAUCACGCCUUGCCUUUGUCCUUAGGCUCUGAAGUACCUGAAACAACCAACAACCUGUAAGCGAAAUGCUUAGUGAGUUUCCUAGAGCAUACCACACACACACACAAACCACAUAUCACAUAUCCUGUUAGCUAUAAAAGCUACACACAUAAUACGUAAGCCAUGCAUACAUAAAACCUGAGAGAAUGCCAUGGGCUACCCCACAUGGUCUUUUCCUAGGACUGCCAUGGGCUCCCCCAUAUGGACUUACAUCCAAUGCCAUGGGCUACCCCACAUGGUCUUCACCUAGGACUACCAUGGGCUACCCCACAUGGUCUUACAUCCAAUGCCACGGGUUCCCCCGGGGUCUUCAUACAAAAGAUGCAAUCACAUAACAAAACACAAAAUGUCUAUCACAUAUAUCAUAAUCACAUACUGGGCCGACCUUGGUGCCUUAGAACCAUAGGUAUGGUGAGAAGACUCACAUGUCACGAAUGCUGAACUGACACUUUGCGACCAAAUAUACCCCACGAGUUGCUCCACUCAUCUGCCUAAAAAGUGACACACAAUAUCUAGUCAUUUCCCUAAAGUCAAUCCUGGUCAACUACAACCAAGAUCAAGUCAACCGUCCAUGUUGACCCUAACUCGCCGAGUACAACUAGUGACUCGCCGAGUUUCUCGGAAUAACGUCUACUCGCCGAGUUCACACGGUCAUGAUUGAUAAUCUAAGGUCCUUCAUCGAGUUUCCUUGCUUGCCACUCAACACGUCUACGAACAUCCAAUAGCCAGGGGAAUCUUACUCGACUCACCGAGUUGUUCCUUCAACUCGUCGAGUUCUAUGAAAUCUUCAUCCGGCUCGCCGAGUUGUGCAUCCAACUCGUCGAGUCUAAGACAAUAUUCAUCGGGCCCGCCGAGUCGUUCAUCCAACUCGUCGAGUUCAUGCUUGCCUUUAUAUUGAUGGGUUUUAUACAAACAAUCCUAUGUGUACAUGCAACCCUAGCAUUGGAUCUAUGUUUUCACUAUUAGAUACACAACAUUAUGAACACAUAAUAAAACCCUAAUCAGGAUUGCUAUUUUCGAAAUUAACCAAGAAGGUUAGAUUACAUACCUCUUGUUGUUAUAUUGUAAUAACAACUUAAAUCUUCAAACCUAAAGUCUUGAAAGCAAGCACCACAAGUGUAGUGCCUCUAAUGACUCACAAACACCAAGAGCAAAUGGAGAAGGUAUAAAGAGAGAGGAGAGGUAUAAGAAUUCGUCUCUAGGACCUCUUGGGAAGGCAUGGACGAAUUCAUGAGCCUUAGGGGUCUUUAUAUAGGUGUAGAGAUUAGGGUUUUAGUCCUUAUCCUUAUCUAGUUGCUUGCCCACCAAGUAACCAUAAGAUAAGCCUUGAAAACCCUUAUCCUUUAUCCUUUGGACGAUUUCAAGGAUCCUUAUCUCCUUGAAUUCGUUCAACCCAUAUUUAGGAUAACCAUUACCAUAUUUUGUAACUAUCACAUAAUUACAAUUCAGCCCUUCUAGUUUAAUUAAUUACACUUGAUCACAAAAUUAAUUCUUAAUUAUUUAUUGACCAAUAUUAAUUAAACAAAUAUGAUUUCUCCUUUAAUAUAUUAUUCUUAUAACAUAUUAAUAAAUCAUAAUAACCUCUCUCUCUUUAUUUAUUUCUCCAAUCAAGUUGCUUUGGUGAAGGCAACCCAAAAGGACCAUGCACCAUCGGGUCAAGUACAUACCAAAAUAGUUAUGGACUUAGACACUAAUCCAACAGUCUCCCACUUGGAUAAGUCUAAUAACUAUUCUGCGUAUGACUUCAGAUCCUGAUCUGCAAUCGUAGCUUUCCAAAGCCGCUGUCAACUCUGAUCCUAUCAGAUACGCGUGUCCUUAGAUAAGGGAUCAUAUAUUCCUCCAUUCUAGAUAUCAUAUGAGAUAUGAUUUCAAAUCAUUCUCUUUGUACUAUAUCUCGAUUCCCGAUUUAUGACGACUGACUAAUUGAACAAAUCAAAUUAGCCCUAGCCCGGCCGAGCAUUUACGUUUGUCAUCACUAAAUCAUCGAGGGGCCCAAAGAUAUCGCUUUUAUCCUACUUUGGAUAAAAGGAACGGAUAAACUUUGAUACAAUGCUUGCUUGCACUCACUCACCGAAUCACACACAACAAUAUGUUUUAUAACACCAAGUUACUAGUGCGUUUACAUAUUAUCAAUGUGCAACCGAUUCGCAAGAUACAACUCACACAUCUCGGUUUCAAGAAUAUAAGAUGUUAUCGUCUCACCAAUCACUCGUGAUACAAUUCAUGGAGUGAUCCAAGUGAGCGUGGGUUUAAUCCAAUGCUCAAAUCAUAUUCAUAAGCACUCAUGAACGUUGCAGCAAACAUUUGCUUAUGUCUAAUACUCUUUUAGACAAUCCACACACCAAUUCACGACAGUCUUCAUUCAUAUCUACUUCCAACAUAUGAACGACUGUGGCCCGUUCGAAUAAUUCGAUUAUUCUUAAUAAACUCAAUUAUUCUGGAAGUCAAAACAUGCAAAUGUGAAACACAAGAAUAAUACUAAUCCCAUAUGGCCUCAAACCUUUGAGUAUAAAUAAAACACCUUUUAUUUAUCACCAUAUUGAUUACUCAUUAUUUGUCGUUUCGGGUAAUCAACUUCUUACUUGAAUUACAACACUUGUCCCAUGCUCCUAGCAUGCACACAAUGUUUACCUAUGGUUCUUACUUUGUGAAAUAGAUCACAUUGAACACAUUUCCAAUCAUUCUCAUUUCACAACUCCAAAUCCUUUUUCAUAAGUGUAAGAAUAUCAAAUUCUUGCUACUUAUAGAAUAUGCUAGAUUCUAACAUUUUAUGCAACUAUCCUUUCGUAAUGUCACUGCACCAAAGUCACAAAGACUAUUGCCAAUGAUAUUACAAAGUCCUCUAUCGGAGAUUGUUACAAGACAAUUCCAUAGAUGUGAUGUCUCUCACUCAAAGUACAUUCUUUGAACAUCCUUUUGCAUAGAAGUUUCUAAUCUAGUCAUAGAUUUCUCAAUAUUCAAUUCCCAAUAUGGACACACUUCCAUAUGUUCCAUAUGACAACUCAUUCUUAAUAGAAUCUUAUCUAUUCGUAAUGAUGUCGAUAUGGUCCAUCCAAUAUGGAAACAUUUCCAUAUUUUCCAAUACUAUACUUCCAACUACUCACAAGCGACCAAUCCUCGUCGAACUUGGAUUGUCCUUUGAUAGUUGUUUAAUUAUUUUAGUCAAAACCAAUUCUAGUCCCUUUUCCCUCUAAAUGCGCUCGACAUUUGGAAAAUUUUAGAAUGGUCAAACAUUAAAGCAUUUGCAAUCGAUCCUAUACCCGAAGCGUAUGGGACACGACGCAUAAUGUUUUAUUUGCUAUGUUCUCAAAAUUCGAAUUGUGAAGAGGGAUGCCGUAAUCAUAAUCGAAAUUUUAAGAACACACUUUGUACCUUUGACUAAAUUUUAUUAACAUUUCUCAACCUAAACCUUUAGAUUUGAAAUGAAGCAUAAUAUUCUCUCCCUUAAUUAUAGCAAAACAACUCUUCAACUAUUGCGACUUUGCAAAGUAUGACUCUUGUUUUCUAUAAUUAAUAUUGCUAACCUUGCAAUACUUUCCUUAAUAAUCAUACAAUCAUAACUUUUAUGCUCCCACUAUCUUGAUGAUUAUUAUAAAACAUAACACUUAUGCUCCCACUAGCUUCGACAUGUAUUCAUAAACAUCUUAACUUUCAGAAAAAAAAUGCUUAUUGAAUUUCUUAAGUUCAUGUUUCUAAUACUUAGUGCUUUGAUAAUCUUUUAUCAAGGUUUCUUGAACUUAUACACAUUUGCCUUCGAUAGUUCAUAUGUGUGUCUAAACAAUUAAGACUAAUUGCCAAACCUCACAAUUCAAAUUAUGGAAAGGGAUGCCGUAACCAUAAUUGAAUUCGAGAAUGCAAUUUUACAAUCACUAUCUUCUUAAAAUCUGUCUUAGUGAAAGCAUUUCCUCACAAUCAUUUUCAUGAAGGAGGAAAUCUUAUGACACUUAGAUUUAAACGGUGUAUUUGUUCCUAUCCAUGUGAAUUUGUCAAAACCAAAGUUUACGACAAAUUCAAACUCUUAUGGAUCGAACUUUCUUGAUCUCGAUUUCUUGCCUUUAUGGUAGCACAGCUGCCCACCAUGUCUUCCAAGUAGUUAAGCAGCUCACCCUUUCCUAUCAAUGUACCUUUCAUUGAUUAAGGUGCUUUGCCUUUUAUGCGUUCAAAAUGAGAACUCAUAGAACUCACAUGCAUAAUUAACUCGAUUGGAUUGGCACAGAAUCAAAAUAAUGUCAACACGAUAGGUUGUAAACCUCAACUCGUGUGCUAGUGAUGAUCGAUAAGGUUUAUUUGAUUUGUUCUUGAAACCUUUCAAGACCAUUAAGACUCCCACUGACUCCUUGACAUAUAAGAUUCUCUUGUCAAAAAACAUUUCUUGACAAACAAAUAUUCAAGAGUUAGUGUAGCUUUUAUCAAAACACUUCAUAAAUUGGUCCUAGUUGGUCUUUGUCUUAUCCAAGACAUCACAACUUUCCACAUUUAAUGAAAGUUACAAACCUUCUUAAUACCUUUCACUCAAUGUCACAAUCUUAACUUUAAGACUUGUUAUUGGAACGAAGUAUGAUUGACUUAUUGAUUUAACCAUUUCUUCAAUUCUUGAUUCCUCUUCUUAGACAUACAAUUGUACUAAGACUCACUUAGAGGAUCAAUUGAGAUAUGGUUCUUAAUCAUUAAGACCUAUCAUAAAGCAUAAAAGGUACUCUCCCUUCUUCUUAGAAUGGAGAAACUUUUAUCUUUCUGCCUACUUGAUUCUUCUUAUUCGUUCUGCUAUUGAUUUAAACCUUUUCAAUCAAUUCAGAAUUACACUUAAUCUUAUAAGUAUAAUCAUAUUUACUAAACCUUUAGUAAAUCAUGACGAAUAUCUUUGUUACUCUUAUGGUGGACUUGAUCAACACGCAACUUUGUGUACUCGAUCUCCUAGUCCUUCACUUGACACUUUGUCAAUGAAUUAGUCUAAUUUCCAAAUAUGAAAUUUCUCAUUCAUCGUGCAACCAAGUUGCAUGAUUCCAAGUUUCUGUCCAAUUGAAACUUGGGCGAUGAGAAACUCUCCCUAUUUGGUAAAUUCUCGACUUUCCAUAAAUAACAUAAUAAGAACCAAAUCCAUUAUUGCUAAUAAUAGAAACAUUUUAACAUCAAUUUUUCAUACACGCCAUUGUAAGGAUAAAUAAAUAAAAUUUAAAAUCAAAAUUUAUUUUAUUGCGGAAAAAUUUGUCCUUACAAUGCAACUCAUUGAAAAACUUAUGCUAAUACAUCUUUCUUAGCAAUCUAAUUCUAACUCUAAGUAGUAGCUCAAGAAUCUAAUCUUCGAGAAAUGCGAUCGAAAUCCAUUCCUUCACGGUUAGAUUCUGCUCACUUCUUCCCUUAAGCUUCCUUUCUUUUCUUCGAUCCUACAAAACAUCAAUUGUAAUCUUAUCACAUUAUGUAUUAAGAAUCUAGAAUAGAAGCUUAAAAGAGUUAGUUAAUGGAUUUUACCUAUAUUAGAGCCAUACGUUUCGACUCUCCCAUCUCUUAGAUCUCUUAGGUAAAUGGGGCAGCUUCGUCUCCAAUGCCCUUUCUCUUGGCAAUAAAAGCAAAUUGACUCUUUUGGAACAUGACAUGGAACUACUUCAGACAUUGCCUUUCUCUUAUGAUCAAACUUUUCGAUCAUAGCAUGUCUUUCGUUGCCAUUGUCUAUAUCCAUAGAGGUCUUGAAGGCAGAUUCACCAAUCAACUUUGCUUUUCUAUUGCGCCAAACCAUUGCUGAUUCAGCAGCAAUAAGCAUAUAGGUGAGAUCUAUAAGGGUCACGUCGCAGUUCAUCAUAUAGUACUCUCUUACGAACUCACUAUAUGAGUUAGGAAGUGACUGAAGAACCCAAUCAACAGCCAUUUCCUCACAGACAACGGAUCCCAACAUUCUUAACCUAUCAAUGUGUGACUUCAUCCCUAGGACGUGUGCACACACCGACUUUCCUUCUUUAUGUUUACUUGCCAAAAGGGCUUGAGUGAUCUUGAACUUUUCAAGCCUUUGAACUUGUGGGUUAGGGAGAAUAAUUGGAGGAGGAGGAGGAAGUGAAGUAUGAUCUCUUGUUCCUCGAUCGAAUCGUGGAAUAUCAUCUUCAUGUGGAAUGCUUGUUCCACGGGAUUUGAGAAGACCAUAGUUGUCAAAAUUUGACAUCUACAAUAUGGGAGAAAACGAAUUCAAGUUAGUUUAUUGAAUGAGUCCUUAGCAAAUCACCCAAAUGAGAUACUAAGGCUAGGACCCAACACAAUAUUCUACAACUCGGGAGAGGGAUGCCGUAACCCUAAUUGCAGAAUAUUUGAAGGUAAGUGAAUGACGAUUCACUAAUUUCCACCAUGAAAAACGAAAAAGAAAUUUAAGUUUUAAAUCUAUGAAAACUCCUAGAUCCUUUGAGAUUCAUUGAACUUUCAAUGGCAUGUUUAAAUCUCGAUAUGCCCCUCUUGUUUGUGACUGGGAUGCCGAGGAUCACAAAGCGGGUGUGAAUAACCAUGCAAACUUACAUGGUGCCCUCACAUGUUACAGUCACCUAUUCGAUGUGCCGGUAAACCACACACGCUCCACCGAACUAUGACAAACAUUGAGUCACCCUUUGCUACCUUCACUUAGAACCAUUUAGUGUGCCGGUAAACCACACACGCUCCACUAACGUCUUCGCAAGGGUACAAAGUGUAAUUUCAUGGAAUUGCAUCAAUUCACUUUUGCCUAAGUAACUAAGAUUGGGAAUUUUAUGAAAACAUUUAGUUACUUUAAUAAUUCAUUAUACUUAUAAUGGAAGGUUUCGUCCUAUCCUACCCGUUCGGCUAACGACCCUCCACUAGUCAAGAGUGCGGUGGGUAAGAGUGGAUACCCAUUCAAUCGCCAUUUUAUAGGCAAUUUCCUUAAACACCCCUUAUAGACCAGCUUCGUGAAUGAGGCCUACUAACGGUAAGACUGACUUUUACUCAUUCAUAUAUAUAAUGUUAGACUUUUAAUGUUAUAUAUAGUAUAGGGUGUGUUUUACACUUUAAAAUACUAGGUGGUCAAAUAUAACAAUUAUAUUUUUAAUUGUAAACCAAAACUUUUAUGGAUUUAUUAAACUUCUUUUAAUUAUACACCUUAAUUAAUUAAUAAAACCAUAAGGGUGUAAUUUGAACCUUUUCAAAACAAUACUAGGGUUUUAGAAUUUAACAUCCUAAUUAAACUUUUAAUCAACUUUUAAAUUCCAAAACUUGAGGGCAAGUUUUGAAACUUUUCAAAACAAUUUAGUUUUAAUCUCUCUUAAAAUUUUCGAAUUUAUGCCAUAUAAAUUAAUAUUUUAAAUAUUAAAACUCUUGAUUUAAUAAUUAUCUUGAAUUAGACUAUUAAUUUAAUUAUUAAAUCAUAAGGGAUUAUCUAAAUCAUGAGGAUAAUUACCAUUUAUACAUUUAAGAUAUCCUAAUCCCUUAAUUAUCUCUCUAGAUUUCGAAAUUAUGGUUAGGAUAAUGCAAAAUCUAUAAUUACCAUAUAUAACAACUAGAGGAUAAUUACAAGAUAUGGGAUAAUCCAAAUCCCUAAAAUUUAGGAUCUUAUCUUGGGGAGGAGGCUAAUUUCGAAAAUCAUGGGGUUUUUCAAACCCUAGAUUUCGAAAUCUUGAGGCUUAAGUAAAGGAUUUGAAACCCUUUCAAAUUUUCGCAAAUUAGGGUAUAGAAACCCUAAUCUCGAAAUUUCUAGCCUCCUAGGGUUUAUUGGCUAUAAACCCUAAUAUGUCAAGUUCAUACAAUUGUAUAAUACUAAUUGAAAACAAGUUAACCAAAGGCUCUGAUACCACUGAUGGGUUUUAUACAAACAAUCCUAUGUGUACAUGCAACCUUAACAUUGGAUCUAUGUUUUCACUAUUAGAUACACAACAUUAUGAACACAUAAUAAAACCCUAAUCAAGAUUGCUAUUUUCGAAAUUAAACAAGAAGGUUAGAUUACAUAUCCCUUGUUGUUAUAUUGUAAUAACAACUUAAAUCUUCAAACCUAAAGUCUUGAAAGCAAGCACCACAAGUGUAGUGCCUCUAAUGACUCACAAACACCAAGAGCAAAUGGAGAAGGUAUAAAGAGAGAGGAGAGGUAUAAGAAUUCGUCUCUAGGACCUCUUGGGAAGGCAUGCACGAAUUAUGAGCCAAAGGGGUGCUUAUAUAUAGAUGUGGAGAUAGGGUUUCAGUCCUUAUCCUUAUCUAGUUGCUUGCCCACCAAGUAACCAUAAGAUAAGCCUUGAAAACCCUUAUCCUUUAUCCUUUGGACGAUUUCAAGGAUCCUNCAAAUUCGUUCACCAUAUAUAUAAGAUAAUCCUUACCUUAUUUUGUAACUAUCACAUAAUUACAAUUCAGCCCCUCUAGUUUAAUUAAUUACACUUGAUCACAAAAUUAAUUCUUAAUUAUUUAUUGACCAAUAUUAAUUAAACAAAUAUGAUUUCUCCUUUAAUAUAUUAUUCUUAUAACAUAUUAAUAAAUCAUAAUAACCUCUUUCUCUAUUAUUUCUCCAGUCAAGUUGCUUUGGUGAAGGCAACCCAAAAGGACCAUGCACCAUCGGGUCAAGUACAUAGCAAAAUAGUUAUGGACUUAGACACUAAUCCAACACAUAUGACUUGCCGAGUCACCCCUUGCGACUCGCUGAGUCCUAUCAGAUCUCAGGCCAUACAAACUCUUUUGAUCCAUGCAAUGCUUCCAAAUUAAAGAUCUAAGCUUCUGAGUCAUGCUUUCCACGUAAAGUUGCAAACUUUACGUGCAUGCAAGGCUUUAAGGCCCUAAAAUAGCAAAUCUAAGCUUGGAAUGGAUUCAUACACUAGAGGGGAGGCACAAGCUAGGCACAACUGAUAACUUUAUGCAUCUAAAGGCCAAAAGGAGUCCAGAUUUGAAGUUACCACUUCAGAUCUUGGCUUAAACACAAAAGCCCUUUCUUAGAAUCCAUGCACAAGAGGGUUUUGGGUGGAAAUGAGCCAAGGAACAACUUAUUACCUUCAGGAAGUGCUCCACAUAAGUAGAUCUUGAAUCCCCAUGAGUCCUUUGCUUCCUCUAGCUUGUUUCCUCAAGUGUUUUCUUCACCAAAUCCUUCCUUCAAGCUUAAAAUCACCAAGAAACACACUCACACUCGAAUAAGGGUUUCUGGGAGGUAAAGAGCUGUAAAGGGGAGGCUAGGGGAGGCUAAUGAUCCUUUAAAUAGGGUGCAAGGUCCCGAAAUCUAGGGUUUCAUCUGCCAGCAUCUACUCGUCGAGUCCCAUAUUGGACUCGGCGAGUAGGUCAUUAAACUUCUCGGACAAACCCGCUACUACUUGAGGAGUAGGGAGGCCAACUCGCCGAGUAGGUUCUUAAAAAUCCAAACCAAAAUAUCAUUAUUAAUACAUGAGGAUCAGGGUGUUACACCUCUCCCCCACUUGAAUUAGGCUUCGCCCUCGAAGCCUGCUGGUCCAAACAACUCUAGAUAGAAACCUCUCAUUUCAUCUUCCGAUUCCCAGGUCCAUUCGGAACCCUUUCGGUGCCGCCAUUGCACCUUUACCAACUUCACUUCUUUAUUACGGAGCUUCUUCGUCUUCCUGUCUAAGAUCGCAACUGGUCUCUUGACAUAAUUCAGGCUCCCAUCCAAUUGAAUGUCGUCCAAGGAUAUGACUGAAGACUCGUCGGCAACACGCUUCGGGACCUGAGACACAUGGAAGGUGUUGUGAAUCCGACUAAGCUCCUCUGGGAGCUCUAAACGAUAUGCUACCUUGCCCACCCAGGCUAUUAUCCUGAACGGACCUAUGAACCGAGGCCCCAAUUUGCCCCUCUUGCGGAACCGGAUAAUCCCUUUCCCGGGUUACAUCUUCAGUAAGACAAAGUCUCCUUACUGAAAUUCGAGGUCUGAUCGCCGUCGGUCCGCAUAACUCUUCUGACGACUCUGCGCGACUCGCAAUCGGUCACGCACCUGCUGAAUCAGUCCAAUGGUCUCGAGUACCACCUCCGUGCUCCCCAAAACUCGAUGCCCAACCUCAUCCCAGCACACUAGGGUCCUACACCUCCGUCCAUAUAACAUCUCAAAUGGUGCUCGGUCAAUACUGGCAUGAUAAUUGUUAUUGUACGAAAACUCUGCCAAUGGGAGGUACGUAUCCCAACUCCCUCCGAAAUCCAACACACAUGCCCGCAACAUAUCCUCCAGUGUCUGGAUCGUCCUCUCACUUUGGCUGUCGGUCUGGGGGUGAUAUGCCGUACUAAAAUGCAGCUGGGUACCCAGUUCCUCGUGGAACUUCUUCCAAAACCUGGAUGUAAACCGAACAUCCCUAUCCGAAACCACUGAUACCGACACUCCAUGCCUAGCCACUACCUCUCGAACAUAAAUGUCCGCCAACUUCUCUGCAGAUAUACUCUCGAAGAUCGGAAUGAAGUGAGAACUCUUAGUCAGUCUAUCCACGAUCACCCAUAUGACAUCUACUCCCCUCGCUGUCCAUGGUAGCUUCGUGAUGAACUCCAUAGUGAUCUCUUCCCACUUCCACAUGGAAAUGAGUAAUGGCUGAACCUUACCAUGAGGUCACUGGUGCUCAGCCUUGACCUUCUGCAGGUUAAGCAUUGAUCCACAUAUCCGAUGAUCUCCCGCUUCAUGCAGGGCCACCAAUAGCUCAGCCUCAAAUCCCUAUACAUUUUUGUUGCACCUGGGUGUAUAGAAAAUUUGGACUUAUGCGCCUCCUCUAAAAAUCUUUGCCUCACUUCCCCUUACAUCGGCACCUAUACUCGGCCACACUGCGUCAACAAGCCACGACUAUCCUUAAAAAACAAAGGAUACUGGCCCCGAAUUCUUUCCAAUUUCCAGUUCUCUUUCUUCACCCCCUCGACCUGAGCUCUCGAAUCAUGUCUAUCAAGGGUGGACUUACCAUCACCCUCAUACAAAUACCCCUGAUCGGCGACCCCGUCCCCUUGCGACUUAAUGCAUCGGCCACCACAUUGGCGUUCCCUGGAUGGUAUAAGAUCUCUCAGUCAUAGUCCUUUAGCACGUCCAACCAUCUCCUAUGUCGCAUAUUCAGGUUCUGCUGGUCCAUCAAAUACUUUAGACUCUUGUGAUCGGUAUACACAACGAAUUUCGCCCCAUACAAAUAGUGCCUCCAUAUCUUGAGGGCAAACACCACUGCCCCCAACUCCAGGUCAUGCGUGGGGUAAUUUUCCUCGUGAGGCUUCAACUGCCUCAAGGCAUAUGCGAUCACGUGCCCCUUCUGCAUCAGUACCGCACCCAACCCUGAGAUCGAUGCAUCACAAUAUACCACGAAAUCGUCCAAUCCCUCGGGCAGUACUAGGAUCGGAGCUUCACAUAACCUCUGCCUCAGGGUCUCAAAAUCCCUCUGCUGAUCCUCACCCAAUUGAAAAGCCACAUUCUUCUUGGUCAAAUGGGUCAAUGGCACAACAGUCUUGGAGAAAUCUUGGAUAAAUCUCCGAUAAUAACCCGCUAAGCCCAAGAAGCUACGAAUCUCCGAGGCAUUCCUUGGUACUUCCCAUCGCAUAACAGUCUCCACCUUCGCUGGGUCAACCGAAAUACCAUCUUGAUUGAUGACAUGACCCAAAAACUGCACUUCCCAUAACCAAAAGUCACACUUGGAGAACUUCGCAUACAACUUCUCCGUCCUCAAGGUCUCCAACACCUCUCUCAAAUGCUGCUCGUGCUGCUCCCUGGUCUUGGAGUAGACUAGAAUAUCAUCAAUAAAAUCAAUCACCGACUGAUCCAACAUUGACUUGCACACCCGGUUCAUGAGGUCCAUGAAUGCGGCCGGAGCAUUGGUGAGCCCGAAUGGCAUCACCACAAACUCGUAAUGACCAUAAUGAGUCCUGAAAGCUGUCUUUGGUAUAUCCUCAUCCCGAAUCCUCAUCUGAUGAUACCCUGACCGAAGAUCAAUCUUAGAGAACAACGAUGCUCCCUGAAGCUGAUCAAAUAGGUCGUUAAUCCUAGGCUGAGGAUAACGGUUCUUCACCGUCAGCUUAUUCAGCUCCUUGUAAUCGAUGCACAUCCUGUGCGACCCGUCCUUCUUUUUCACGAAAAGGAUCGGAGCUCCCCAUGGAGAACUACUUGGACGGAUGAACCCUUGGUCUAGUAGCUCUUGAAGCUGUGCAGAUAAUUCCUGCAUCUCGGGUGACGCCAACCGAUAUGGUGCUUUUGCUAUCGGGGCGGCACCUGGUACCAAUACAAAACUCCACCUGCCUUUCCGGUGGCACUCCGGGUAAUUCUUCGGGAAAAACUUCCUGAAAGUCCCGCACCACUGGCACACUGUUGAUAUCUGUCACUGCCUCUACCCGCGUAUCUGAAACAUAGGCCAAAAAUCCCAUGCAGCCCUGCUGCAGAAACCUCCUCACCCUCGCCGCUGAACAGAGGGUCGGGCCCUGCGAGGUCCUCUCGCCAUGGAUAACCAGUUCUCCCCCCCCCUUGGGGUUCGAACCCGGACUAACUGCCGCUCACAAUCGAUCAUGGCUCCAUUGGCCCCCAUCCAGUCCAUCCCAAUAAUCACCUUCAAUCUUCGCAAUGGUAUGGGAACCAAAUCAACGCGAAACAUUUUGCCAUGCACUUUCAGGACAUAAUCCUGACACACCCUCGCAGCACUCACGAUGCGAUCAUCUGCAAUCUCUACCUCGAGCGGGGUAUCCAGAGUCCCCGGUGCGUCUCAGAAUUUCUUGCUAAGUGCAAGAGACACAAAGGAUCGGGUAGCCCCCGAAUCAAAUAAGACAUGGGCCGUCAUACCAUUGACCAGAAAGGUCCCUAUACAAAGCAGAAUAAGCAUACAUACAAACAUUUAACGUAAAAGAGACAGAGGAUAAUGAAAACAUACUAGCCACGACGUUUGGCGCGGCCCGAGCCUCCUCGGUAGUCAGCUGGAAUGUGCGGCUCUUGACCGCUGGAGCUUCCGCCUUAGGGCGGCCAUACGUAAUCCUCAUAGUGGCGGGCGUGGGCGCUGCCACCGAUCCUCCUCCUCCUCCUCCUCCUCCUUGCAACCUCGGACAAUCGGCCUUUUUAUGGCCUUUCUGGUUGCAGUGAAAGCAUAUCAAGCCCUUCUUGGGGCAAUCCUUACUCAAGUGGCCCUGUUGGCCACAAGAGUAGCAUCUUGACAUCCCGACUGUCUGACAAUCCCCACUAUGAAAUCUCCCACACUUGGCACACUGGCCAUGACCCUUUUGGCCCUUACUCGAAGAAUCGGAGGUCUUAGGCUUCUUAGCCUGAGCCCUCGCUGCCUGCACCUGCUCAAUCUUCCGCUUCGUGCGGGACUCCAACUCCAUCUCCCUCUCACGGGCCUUAUCAACCAUCUCAUUCAGGGUUUUGCACCCUGUAAAGCUCACAAAUUCCCGAAUGUCCUCUCUCAGCAUAGAGUGAUAUCGGGUCCUCCUCAUGUCCUUAUCUGUCGCAUACUGCGGGAUCAACAAAGCUCGCUCUUGAAACUUGGUGGUGAUCUCUGCCACAGUCUCAGUAGUCUGCUGUAAAUCAUGAAACUCCCUUACCAUCCGUUGCACCUCAGUAGGUGGUGCAAAAUCCUGAUCGAAAUGUCGCACAAACUCAGCCCACGACAUGUCAGCCACACCGGCUGCUCCUACCUGACUAGUAAUCUCGCCCCACCAAUCUCGGGCCCUGUCCCUCAGCAUACAGGAAGCAAAUCCAACCUUUGCCUCCUCCGGGCAAGAACUCGUGCGCUGGGCAUUCUCAAUGUCCGCCACCCAGCGUCUGCUUACAAUGGGGUCCUUGACCCCAGAAAACUCCGGAGCUCCGCAUGCCUUGAACUCCCUAAACGAGGGGGUUCGAGCUCCACCCUGGCCCGCAGAAAUAUUGGCCCUGAAUGCUCUAAGUCUCUCCUCCAUGAUCUCCAUCAUGCCCUCCUUGACUGUCCCAAAUAUGACUAGGGUAGCGUCAAGGAUGCCCCUCGUAACCUCGGCCACAAUCAACUCACGCAGCCUCUCAUCGAUACCAUCAGUAGGGCCGCCUGACCCCGCCCCAGAUCCCGAUCCCGAUCCUGAUCCCGAUCCUGAUCCCGAUCCCCCUGCUCCAAACCGCGUAACCACCAUGAUAGACUGUCAUUUCACAAAACAUAAUGAUCAGGAUACCCAUAACGAGGUUACUUCCAUACUGUUUCCCUUUGGAGUUUCCCAGAUAGAACAUGGGUUUGGGUACGGGUCCUGUGCUUCCAAUAGUACGGGCCUAAUACUACCUCCACACCUACUCGUACCUUUCCCCGCUGUUUUACCUAGUACCUCCAAAUCUAUCCCCACAUAAACCAUGACUCACAACUCUUGCAUGAAUCAAACCCGGACACCCUAUGGUUGUCCUACUCAUAACAAUCAAACCAAUCACUACAGGUUGCUUUUAGGCAUGCAAAUUAUACACAGAAAGGAUCAAAUAGGCCAAAUCAAUCAUUAUGAGGCUAUCAGAUCCUAACCGUAUAUAAUUUUAAAACAUACACUUAGCAAUUCCAUAUAAUCGACGAGGCUCGCUAUCAUAUAACAUGGCUAUUCAACUUGGGAAACUACUUACUUGGCUAGGCUAAUCACGCGCGUUGCACUCUCCUCUUUUGGCUUAAAAAUCCUUUUUAAGUUACUUUUGAAAACAUUUUACCACUUCCUUAGUUUGAGUCCCGACACACCCGAGAAUGUGUCCGAAUCCCUCAAACCAAGGCUCUGAUACCAACUUGUAACGACCUAAUUUUACCAAGAAAUUUUUCAUUUUUAAUUAAUCAAAUAAAUCCCAGAAUCCAUAGAUUUCCAAACCAUUUGUUUUCCCAAUUCACAAUUAUUACAAUUUCAUUGUACUUUUUGAAAACAUCAGAGAGUCCCAACACACAAAAAGAGACGUAGAGUACACGCCACAUCAUCACACCUUGCCUUUUCCCUUAGGCUCUGAAGUACCUGAAACAAUCAACAACCUGUAAGCGAAAUGCUUAGUGAGUUUCCUAGAGCAUACCACACACACACAAACCACAUAUCACAUAUCCUGUUAGCUAUAAAAGCUACACACAUAUCACGUAAGCCAUGCAUACAUGAAACCUGAGAGAAUGCCAUGGGCUACCCCACAUGGUCUUUUCCUAGGACUGCCAUGGGCUCCCCCACAUGACCUUAUAUCCAAUGCCAUGGGCUACCCCACAUGGUCUUCACCUAGGACUACCAUGGGCUACCCCACAUGGUCUUACAUCCAAUGCCACGAGCUUCCCCUGGGGUCUUCAUACAAAACAUGCAAUCACAUAACAAAGCACAAAAUGUCUAUCACAUAUAUCAUAAUCACAUACUGGGCCGGCCUUGGUGCCUUAGACCCAUAGGUAUGGUGAGAAGACUCACCUGUCACGAAUGCUGAACUGACACUUUGCGACCAAAUAUACCCCACGAGCUGCUCCACUCAACUGCCUAAAAAGUGACACACAAUAUCUAGUCAUUUCCCCAAAGUCAAUCCUGGUCAACUACAACCAAGAUCAAGUCAACCGUCCAUGUUGAUCCUAACUCGCCGAGUACAACUAGUGACUCACCGAGUUUCCUAGAAUAACGUUUACUCGCUGAGUCAUCGAGGUGACUCGUCGAGUUCACACGGUCUUGAUUGAUAAUCUAAGGUCCUUCGUCGAGUUUCCUUGCUUGCCACUCGACACGUCUACGAACAUCCAAUAGCUGGGGGAAUCUUACUCGACUCGUCGAGUUGUUCCUUCAACUCAUCGAGUUCUAUGAAAUCUUCAUCCAGCUCGCCGAGUUGUGCAUCCAACUCGUCGAGUCUAAGAAAAUAUUCAUCAGGCUCGCCGAUUCGUUCAUCCAACUCGUCGAGUCCAUGCCUGCCUUCAUAUGACUCGCCGAGUCACCCUCUGCGACUCGCCGAGUCCUAUCAGAUCUCAGGCCAUACAGACUCUUUUAAGCUAUGCAAUGCUUCCAAAUUACAGAUCUCAGGCCAUAUAGACUCUUUUAAGUGCUCUUCUUUUUCUUCUUCUUAUUCACAAUCCACCAAUAAACUCUCUUUCAUGCUCAGAACUCAUGAAAUCACUCUAGGGUUUUGAUUUCAGGGUAGUGGGAGAUGGAGGCUGGUCUAAAAUGUCCAAAAGAUGAUAUAAUGAUGCUUAAAUAGGGUGAAAACCCUAAAAAUUUGGAUUUUCAUAUGGCUGGAGUAUGCUCCACGUACUCCCAAUACGGCCAAUAUACUCCAUGGAGGUCUGCGAUCCUUUCUGCCUUGUACCCCCAACGCACUCCCUUGUACGCCCUGCGUACAAGGCUUAGCCUUUUAAACCGCUAACUUCUGGAGGCCAUAACUUCUUCGUUCUGAGUCCGAUUUCGACAAUCCUUAUAUCCACGAAAAGGUAACAAUAUGCUCUAUAUUUCAUUCAACUCAUCUUUUCCUUAAAACUUCCCGAACUAAAUUCCAAAACUCAUAAAAAUCCCGAAUCGACACUUUACCAAUAUACCCCUUGGUUGUAAAACACAAACUGAACUCCGGGAUCAUCCAAAUUACAUUACUCGCACCCAAAUGGGUCUAAAUCCCUCUUUCCAAUGGCCCUAAGCCUUACAAUAACCGAUCUUUGGGCCACAGUCCCAAAUUAGGAAACAAUUCGGAAUAGGACGUUACAUAGGUGGAACCAAUCAAAAACAUAAUCACAAGAGUCUUUUUCUACCAUCAUAACCGAAAACAUCCUUUUGACCCUGAACCCUUCAACUGAUGCCAUUGGCAUAUAGAUUCCUUAAUCCAUAACUUGCUGAAAUAAAGAUCUUGCAUAUAUACACUAACGAUUCCCAACGCGAGUCUUAAUCAAAAGCCAACUCGGUAUAUAACUCAUAACUUGAGAUCCCAGGAUUUACACUUGCAUUUCACCUGAAAUCUUCUGAUUCACGGAAACCAUUCACUAAACCAGGAUAAAAUAAUCCCCAAAACACCGCUGAGACAGCCAGUCUUGCACCUAGUCCAGCUACCAGGUUCUUGAGAUUCCAACUGAUAAGGCUACCCUAGCCUAUGCAUCACUCUCUGCCACUCACUGACCAUAUAGUCAUCUCACUAAAAUCAUGAUCCAAUUCAUUGACCCAACCGGUCCCUACUAGGUCUCACCUGCACUGCCAUAAUCAUACGGACCUCACCCACGGGUCUCUCCCAGUCUAACCAACGAACAUGCCAUGUGAUAUCAACCCAUCGAGAGCUACACAGUCCCAACCUCGCCUCAGACCAUAUUGGUCCUCCUACCAUAGUAGAGAGAUGCUCUUUUACAAUACUGUUUGCCUUGCCCAAGGCACGAGCUAAAAUGUUUUCUACUCUUGUACAUUUGAAAUUGGUAAGAUGUGAUGUUUUGGAUAAAACAAAGACCAACUAAGGCCAAUUGUGUGAAGUGUUUAUCUUGAUAAGAAUCCGUACUAACUCUUGAAUAUUUGUUGUCAAGUAAUGGUAUUUGACAAAGAGAAACUUAUAUGUCAAGAGGUCAGUGGGAGUCUGAAAGAUCCUGAAAGAGUUUCAAGAACUAAUCAAGAAUAAAACCUGUAGUACUAACACACGACUUGAGGUUUGUAACCUAUCGUGCUGACAUAAUUCUUGUUUCCGUGCCUAUUCCGGUAAAAUUGACUAUGUAUGCGAGUUCUACGAGUUCUCAAUUGUGUGCAUAACAACUUGAAAGCAAUGGUAGGCCCUUGUGCUGCCAGGUGGCAAGAAAUUAAGAUUGAACAAGUUUAGUCCAUAUGAGUUUGAAUUUGUAACCAACCUUAUCUUGUGAUUAUGGUUUUGACAAACUCACAUGGAUAGGAACACAUACACCAUAAAAUCUAAGUGUCAUAAGGUUUCUCUUCGAUUCAUGAAAAUGAUGGCGAGGAAACGCUUUCACCAAGAAGAUUUUAAGGAGAUAGCAAUUGUGAUGUUUGCAUUCUCAAAUUCGAUCAUGAUUACAACAUCCCUCUUCAUGGUUUGAAUUGUGAGAAUGUCAAAAGGUCUAAACAUUAUGAUUAUGGCAUCCCUCUUCAUAAUUGUUUAGACACACAUGUGAGCUAUCUAAGGAAAAGUGUAUGAUUUUGAGAAGAUUAGAUAAAGUUUAAUCGAAGCAUCUUAUAUCAGAAAUCUAAACUUUGGUAAUGAAAGUCAAUGAAGCAUCGAUUUCUAGAAGUCCAGCUGAUUUCCGAGUACGUGUCAGAGCUAGUGGGAGCAUAAGUGUUAUGCUGGUAAGAUAAUAAUUAUUAUGCUAGUGAGAGCAUAAUUAAUUAUGGUAAAUAUUGCAAGUUAGCAAUGUUAAUUAUAGAAAACAAAAGUUUCAAUUCGUGAAGUUGCAGGGGUUGAAAAAGUUGUUUUGCUAUAAUUAAGGGAGAUGAAAUUAUACUUCAUUUCAAAUCUAAAAGCUUAGAUUGUGAGAUUUUAAUCAAAUUUAGUCAUGAUUACAUUAUUUGCGUUCUAAAAUUCGAUUAUGAUUAUGACAUCCCUUCUCAUAAUUCGAAUUAUGAGAACAUGGCAAAUUAUAAGAAAUAUUGUAGCAAAAGACUGGUCAAGUAUCAUGUCUUUAUGUGAGACAUCAUGAAUCAUGUCUUGUAUGCUUUAGAUAUAGGAUCAAUUGCAUGUGCUAUAGUACUUUUCCGUUCUAAAUUUUCCAAAUGCCUAGGGCAUUAAGAGGAAAAAAGGAAGAGAACCGGAUAUGACUGAAAUGAUUAAGAAAUUGUCAAGGAAAAUCCGAGGUUUACCUAAGAUUGGUUUCUCAUGGAUAGUUGGAAGUAUGAUGUAAAAUUUUGGAGAGGGACCAUAUUGACAUAUUCUGAAAAGAGGCAACUCUUGUUCAGAAGUAAGAGUCAAAAUGGGAAUAUAGAAAUGGUUCCAUAGGAGGAAGUUAUUCUUCAAAAUCCAUGUAAGAUUAGAAAAACUUAAUGCAAGAAGGACGUUCAAAGGAAUGUACUUUGAAUGUGAGACUUCGUUUCCUUGGAAUUGAUCUACAUUGGAAUACUUUGUAAUGUCUAUUGCCAAGUCUUUGUGACUUUUGUGCAUAGUCAUUACAAGAGGACCAAUGCAUAUGAAUUUAAAAUCUAACAGAUUACAGUAAAUGGCAAGAAUUUGGUAUUCUUACAUUUACAAUAAGGACUUGGGAUUAUGAAAUGAGCAUCAUUGGAAUCAUGUUCAAUUAGUCUAUCUCACAAAGUAAGGGUCAUAGACAAACAUAAUGUGCAUACUUGGAGUAUGGCAUAACUAUUGUUUGGACAAACAUAGUGUGUAUGCUUGGAGCAUGGCAUGCCUAUUGUUUCAGUUCAAGUAUAAAGUUGAUUAUUUGAAACAUUAUGCAAUGAAUAAUGUGUAAUCAAUAUGAUGAUUAAAUAAAAGGUGUUUUAUUUAUAUUCAUCUGUUCUGAGACCAUAUUGGAUUCGAUUAUUCUUAUGUUUCAGUUUGCAUGUUUUGAAUUCCCGAAUAACUAAGUUAUUCAAACCAUCCACAGUCGAUCAUACUUUGGAAGUAGGUAUUGAGGCAAGACUGUCAUGAAUGGGUCUGUAGUUUAUCUGAGACAAAGUGGCUGCAGUGUUCAUGAGUGCUCCUAGAAUGAGAUUCGAGUAUUGGAUUCAACCCACGCUCAUUUGAAUCACUUCAUGGAUUUUAUCACGAAUGAUCAUGAGACAUUAAUAUUUUAUAUUCUUCAAACGGAGACGUGUGAGUUGUAGUUGCGAGUUGGUUAUACAUUGACAUAUGUAAAUGCAACCAAUAACUUGGUUGUUAUAAAACAUAUCGUUGUGUGUGAUUUGAUGAGUAAGUACAAGCGAGCAUUUGGGUUGAAUUUUAUCCAUUCCUUUUACCCUUGGAGGGAUAAAAGCGAUAUCUGUGGGCCCCUCAAUGAUUUAGUGAUGACACCCCUAGGUGCUUGGCCAAGCCUGGACUGAUUUGAUUUGUUCAAUUAGUCAGUCGUCAUAAAUCGGAAAUUAGGAAACAACAAAUGGACAGAGAGAAUGAGUAUAAUCCAUGUCUCAGUCCAUAUGAUAUCUAGAAUGGAGGAAUAUAUGAUCCCUUAUCUAAUGGAAACGUCAUUUGACUAGGUCAAAGUUUGACAUCGGCUUUAAGAGCUACGAUUGCUAGUCGGGAUCUUGGAGUCAUACUUGAAUAUUAAUAGUUUUAGAUUUAUCCAAGUGGGAGACUGUUGGAUUAGAUGUCUAAGCCCAUAACUAUUAUUGGUAUGUACUUGACCCGAGAGUAUCAUGAUCCGUUUGGGUUGCAUGGCAUCGGAACAAUUGGAUAGACAAGUGAGAAAUGGUUAUUUAUGAUUUAUAUUAAUAUAUUAUAAGUUCUAAUAUAUUAAUAUGAAAUCCUAUUAUUUAAUUAGUAUUGAUCAAGAAUUAAUUUGGAAUUUAAUUUUCUGAUCAAAAGAGACUAGUUAAAUAUAUGAGGAUUGAUUAUGUAAAUCAUUCAUUCUUAUAUAUGUGAGCUUGUGAUCCGUUGUCCUUCAUGUUCGGCUUAACCCAUGUGGUAACCCAUGAAUACUCCAUGGAGUUUAAAACCCAUGGAUCAUGAAGGAAAUGGAAAGUCAUGCACAUUAGGGUUUACAUGGUGUAACCCUAAUGAGCCAUACUGUAUAAAGGAUCCCAUGGUUCAUGAAAUGGCACUAGUGGAUACACAUAGUGAGGGCAAGGGCCGAUUUCAUAGGGAGAACCAAAGUAACCUUCUUCUCAAGUUAUUCCAUUUGUUGGUGGUGUUGUGUGAUUCCAUUUGAGGCUUCCACACUAUUGGGGCUAAGCUCUUAAAGGUUCAAGACUUCGAUCUCCAUCAAAAGGUAUGUCAUCUAACUAGACUUUUGUAGUAUAGUUGCUCCAUAAUAUGUUAGUUAGGAUGACGCUUUGGAAUUUUAUAUAUUUACAUGUAUAAUAGUGAAAAAAAUAGAUCCAAGGCACAUAGGGUUGCAUGCACACCAUAGGAGUGUUAGAAUGCUCAAAACCCAUUAGAGUUGCCUUUAGAUCCUUUAGAUUUAGCAACAAAGCAAUGUACCUGCAUUUGGAACACUUUUUGCUUCCUUAAGAACUUCCUUCUCAUGAGAUUUGAGAAUCCCAACCAGUUUUGCAAAAGAAUAGUCCUUAAACUCUUCAUGAGAUUUCAUAGUUGAAACAAUAUGUUUCCAUUCAAACCUCAUGCCAUUUAGAAAAGUGAGCUUCUAUUUAAUUACUUCCCUUUUCAACAUGUGCUUCAUCAUUCUACUCAGCAAAUGGUUAAAACGAGAAACAGUUUGUUCAACGAAUUCGUCUGAUUCUUGUUCAAAUGAACCAAAUUAAGAUAAAAGACUAGUUUUUGUUGAAUGAAGUAGAUCAUCAUGAUUAGAAUAUAAUUCUUCAGUUUAUUCCAAAUUUGAUGAGCAGUCUCACAAGAAAUAACCAAAUGGAAGGUAUUUGGAGGAAGAGAAAACCUCAGAAUUCUGAAUGCCUUUAGGUUGCAUAACAACAAUUCUUUUUCUUUAGAAACAAUAACCUUUUCUUGAACCAGUUCAUCAAAUCUCUUUUGAUAUUAAACUAUUUCUUGAGUUUUUUCAACUUUAUAUGGUCCUUCUUCAAUUGCACGCCGGAUGCUUGAGCCAUGAGUUUCAAUGCCAAAAACAUAGUCUUCAAAAUGAAGUGCCCAGACUUCAUAGUCUUCUCGAAAGAGAAUUGGAAUUUGGUUUGUAUAACCAAUAGCACCAUGAAGGUUGAAUGAAAUCGAGUGAGAAUCUUCUUUAGACAUUUUCGAACAAAUAGAAAGAGAUAAGAAUCAGAUCUGUAAGCUAAAAGCAAGUUUCAAACCAAAAAAAUCAAACGAUUUGCACUAAGAAUUAAUUUUGACCAAAAUGCAAUGAAAGAUUGCAAAAUGCGGAAUCGAUUGAAAAAUUGAUAGAAAAAUAAAAUAAGAACACGAAGAAUUGUAACAAUUUUGGAUUUGAAAACAGCUUACAAAACGUCUCGCUCUGAUACCACAUGAUAGAAUUGUAGGAAAGGUAGAUUCUAAAAUGAAAAUUUCAUAUGAAGAUGUAAAAGAUUUGGAAGAACACAAAGAUAUAAAUAAGAUCUUUUUGCAUUAGAGGAUCGAGAGAACAAUUCUUUACAAGACUUGUGCAGAACUAUUCUAUGUGAAAAACUCUGUCCUCUCUACUAACUAAUGCUCCUAUAUAUAGGCGUUAGGGGAGCACUAGAAAGGAAUCCUAAGUCGACAGUUUAGAACUGCAAACCUAAGAUUAAAUAAGAUUCAGAAAUCGGAAUUACAAGAGCUCAAUUCAGAAUCUAAGAAAAGACACUAAAGAUUAUAGACGCAUACAAGUAGACACAAUCUAAUUCCGAAUCCCAACAGAUUGAAUUAUAAAACAUAAAACGAAGAAAUUAAUAAUUGGUGAAAUCAAGAUAUUUUAUAAUUAUAUAACUAAGGCUGAACGGUGUGGUGCUGACGGCACCACAUUCCACAUAAGUUUAUGGUGACAUUUUUGCUAUUUUUACCACUUUCAAUAGAGGUUAGAGUAUGAUGCUGACAAAAGAGAGUAGAAUAAAAAGGAGAGACGAUGGUGAUAUUUGAAUGGUAAAUGAGGAGAGGGGCAUUGGCAAAAUUGCGUUGAAGAUUACCGAUGGCAAAAAAUUUAGUUGAGGAGCGGUGUUUACCGCAUAAGCAUACCGACAGUAAACUAGUUAGAACACCAUUAAGCCUAAUAACAUUAGGGCAUGUUCUAAAAUCGAGACCUCAACCGAAUUCAAGGUUAUAGAGCUUUGGUAUGAGAAAGACAUUGCAGUCCAUAAAGUCACAUGAUUAAAAAGCAAUAACAAUAUUUAACGUAGGGUUAGAAGGGGCUGUGGCCCCUUUAUUUUUUUUGGUUAACUAUUAAAUUUUAUAUCUAUUUGGCUUCAAAAUAUCAACCUCCGUACUCAUAUUGGAUAGACCAUAAGUAGCCAUAACAACACGUUGGAAAACAAAGAAAUCGAAAUAUCAAAGAAACUUGAUAUUUAUUACACAGCCGCUACUGUUAAGGAAAUUAAACCAAAAAAAUGAAAACUAACUAACGUUUAACACAUACACACACAAUUGAUUAUUCAAACCAACUUCUCUUACCAACAUCACAUGGCUGUGGGAAAAGUGCGCCAUCGUAGGCGCCAAAAGAACACAAAGAAACAAACGACAAACGAUAAUUAGUUGCCAUUCACGGCUCCAGUGGUGGUGGUAAAGGCGGUGGGUCACCGGAGGAUGAUGGAUUAUUACUACCAAGUAGGUGAGUAAUCCCCAUUCUUGUAUCCCUUCUCGAGCUCCACUCGUGUAAAGAAAGGUGUAGUUUCUUCGCCGCCACCAGAAACUCCACCGCCUGCAAUGGUGUAAAAAUCUCUAAAAUACCCUUCAGUGUACUCAUCCUCAGCUUAUCUGCUUCCAUCAAAACAUUAUACAUAUCAAGGGCAUGUGUGUCCAUCGCUAUGUCCACCACCCCACCCUCGCUUGACUCCCCAACCCCCCUACACCCACUUGCCAGCAACAUCAAUGGCUCGUCCGCUAUCCUUUCCUGAUACAACACAUGUGAAAUUCACUACCUGCAAUCUGUAACAUUUAUAAAAAGAUUUGUAGGUUUGUUCCCACAUAUGUUUUAUUGAAUUCUACAGUAUGCCUGUAAGGUUGCCAUAUAUGACGACAGCUUAUCUUGCUCUUUAACCGUUUUGGCAUGAAGUUCAUCUAUUCUUUUGAGCUGCAAGCUUGAUAUUUCUCCGAUGUUUCCAUGUCGAACUCCUUCAAGAAACUCCUUCAAGUGUGUAUUUAGGUGGGACCCACAUAGCGCAUACACGAGCCGGAUCAUCAAAGUAGGUCUGCAACCACCGAUCCAAAGAAACGAGUUCACAAAAGUGCUCCCCCAGCUUGGAGCCAAAAAGGAUGGCCCAUCAUGUUUGGCUAGUUGCGCUCGAGAGUUGUUGUAGUUCUCGAAGUGGGUGAGCAUUUUUUUGGUUAUGAGUUGGAGGUAGUCGACGUCGGUUGGGUAGUUGGUGAGUGUUUGGAGUAAUUCGUCCAGAUCGAGCUGUUGUUGAGCCACCCAGUUCUGAUAACAGCAUU